GACGAGGUGGCCGAGUGGUUAAGGCGAUGGGUUACUAAUCCAUUGUGCUUUGCGCGCGUGGGUUCGAAACCCAUCCUCCUCG
This 82-nucleotide transfer RNA is filed under the name Trichechus manatus latirostris (Florida manatee). Its description in RNAcentral is "tRNA-Ser (ACT) (tRNA-Ser-ACT-1-1)". It matches the Rfam family "tRNA". From Rfam's summary of the family: Transfer RNA (tRNA) molecules are approximately 80 nucleotides in length. The record is from Rfam by way of RNAcentral. Lineage: Eukaryota; Metazoa; Chordata; Mammalia; Sirenia; Trichechidae.